GAGGCCGGCGCGGGAGGCGCAGAUAAGUUCUCGGCGAGGAGCCGCGAUGCCGACUUUAGCAGAGCUGAUAGGCAGGGCUGAGGGCUCGCUUAGCGCUAAGGACUUAAAUUCGAUACGAUUUUUUAAAAAAAUGAAGACUAAUUAUUCAGGGAGAAGAGAGCGAAGAAGAAAUCUAUUCGUAACGCCUGGCGUAGGGUCUCGCAGAUGCUAUAGUACUAUUGGCAGACGGGGUUAGUUUGCCCGGUCGGAGCUGCAGGCACAGCACAGUGCAGCUUUGGUUCCUGGGCAGUCGUCUCAGGAGCCGGCAGAAGAGCUUGGCUAGGCCAGCUGUGGAAGUUAAGUUCCCAAGUCACCUGACUUCAAAUGCCUUCAGGGGAGGGGCAGAUUUUGGCAAUUAGGCAGGGGCCGGUUAAUGGUUGGGGGUGGGGUGGGGUUUAGGUAAUUGUUUAGUUUAUGAUUUCAGAUAACUCAUGCCAGAGCACUUAAAUACUUAGGAUGGAAAAACUAAAGAAAUAUCAACUUCCAAGUUGGAACUUCAGAGCGAGGAAGUGGCUUAAUGAUCCUGAAGGGAUUUCUGCUGAUGGUAGCUUUUAUAUUCUCAAACAGGUUUCUCUUGCUAUGAGGAGCUGCUGCAUGCCGCCCGGAGCAGAACAGCAGGCAGCUGUGAACAGUCUUUCAGAAACUUUGCGAACACUCUAAUGGACACGAUCAGGAAUUGAGCGGAAGAACGAAUUUAACUUAAGACCUUCAUUUCACGCUUCAUGGAGCUGUUCAGGAUUUGACUGGCAUAUGAGUGCUUGGCUCUGCGUUCUGUUCUUGUGAGUGGGAGACCUGCAGUGAGUUUAUGGGCACACUCAAACUCUUCCUGGAAUU
This 873-nucleotide long non-coding RNA is filed under the name Oryctolagus cuniculus (rabbit). Its description in RNAcentral is "lncRNA (ENSOCUG00000033665.1)". The record is from RNAcentral. Lineage: Eukaryota; Metazoa; Chordata; Mammalia; Lagomorpha; Leporidae.